RNAcentral lists this ribosomal RNA (482 nucleotides) under uncultured bacterium. RNAcentral's name for it is "bacterial SSU rRNA". It matches the Rfam family "Bacterial small subunit ribosomal RNA", at positions 1027 to 1509 of the family's 1533-position model. The record is from RNAcentral.
ACUCGAGACAGGUGCUGCAUGGCUGUCGUCAGCUCGUGUUGUGAAAUGUUGGGUUAACGUCCGCAACGAGCGCAACCCCUAUCCUUUGUUGCCAGCGAUUCGGUCGGGAACUCAAAGGAGACUGCCGGUGAUAAACCGGAGGAAGGUGGGGAUGACGUCAAGUCAUCAUGGCCCUUACGAGUAGGGCUACACACGUGCUACAAUGGCGUAUACAAAGAGAAGCGACCUCGCGAGAGCAAGCGGACCUCAUAAAGUACGUCGUAGUCCGGAUUGGAGUCUGCAACUCGACUCCAUGAAGUCGGAAUCGCUAGUAAUCGUAGAUCAGAAUGCUACGGUGAAUACGUUCCCGGGCCUUGUACACACCGCCCGUCACACCAUGGGAGUGGGUUGCAAAAGAAGUAGAUAGCUUAACCUUCGGGAGGGCGUUUACCACUUUGUGAUUCAUGACUGGGGUGAAGUCGUAACAAGGUAGGCGUAGCGAG